CCUACGGGAGGCAGCAGUGGGGAAUUUUGCGCAAUGGGGGCAACCCUGACGCAGCAACGCCGCGUGAGUGAUGAAGGCCUUCGGGUCGUAAAGCUCUGUCAGAGGGGAAGAAAUGCAGGUGGUGAACAACCAUUCUGUUUGACGGUACCCUCAAAGGAAGCACCGGCUAACUCCGUGCCAGCAGCCGCGGUAAUACGGAGGGUGCGAGCGUUGUUCGGAAUUAUUGGGCGUAAAGCGCGUGUAGGCGGUUUGUUAAGUCUGAGGUGAAAGCCCCGGGCUCAACCGGGGAAGUGCAUUGGAUACUGGCAGACUUGAGUACGGGAGAGGAGAGUGGAAUUCCCAGUGUAGGAGGAAAAUGCGUAGAUAUUGGGAGGAACACCGGUGGCGAGGGCGGCUCUCUGGACUAAUACUGACACUGAUCCGCGAAAGCGUGGGGAGCAAACAGGAUUAGAUACCCCUGUAGU
RNAcentral lists this ribosomal RNA (464 nucleotides) under uncultured Geobacteraceae bacterium. RNAcentral describes it as "partial 16S ribosomal RNA". It matches the Rfam family "Bacterial small subunit ribosomal RNA", at positions 338 to 794 of the family's 1533-position model. The record is from RNAcentral. Lineage: Bacteria; Pseudomonadati; Thermodesulfobacteriota; Desulfuromonadia; Geobacterales; Geobacteraceae.